AACGAACGCUGGCGGCAGGCUUAACACAUGCAAGUCGAGCGCCCCGCAAGGGGAGCGGCAGACGGGUGAGUAACGCGUGGGAACGUGCCCUUUGGUUCGGAACAACUCCGGGAAACUGGAGCUAAUACCGGAUAAGCCCUUCGGGGGAAAGAUUUACCGCCAAAGGAUCGGCCCGCGUCUGAUUAGCUAGUUGGUGAGGUAAUGGCUCACCAAGGCGACGAUCAGUAGCUGGUCUGAGAGGAUGAUCAGCCACACUGGGACUGAGACACGGCCCAGACUCCUACGGGAGGCAGCAGUGGGGAAUAUUGGACAAUGGGCGCAAGCCUGAUCCAGCCAUGCCGCGUGAGUGAUGAAGGCCUUAGGGUUGUAAAGCUCUUUUGUCCGGGAAGAUAAUGACUGUACCGGAAGAACAAGCCCCGGCUAACUUCGUGCCAGCAGCCGCCGUAA
Molecule: ribosomal RNA, 447 nt
Filed under: uncultured bacterium
Lineage: Bacteria
Description: partial 16S ribosomal RNA
Rfam family: Bacterial small subunit ribosomal RNA
Source: RNAcentral